GUUGUUGCGGUUAAAAGCUCGUAGUUGGAUUUCUGUUGAGGUCGGGCGGUGUACACCUCGUGUAUUAUUUGCUUCGGUCUCGGCAUCCUCUUGGGGAACGUAUCAGGACUUUAUUGGACUGUGCGAGAUUCAAGACUUUUACUUUGAGGAAAUUAGAGUGUUCACGGCAGGCAAGUGCUUUGAAUACAUUAGCAUGGAAUAAUAAUAUAGGACCUUCGUUCUAUUUUGUUGGUUUCUAGAACUUAGGUAAUGAUUAAUAGGGACAAUUGGGGGCAUUCGUAUUAACGCGUCAGAGGUGGAAUUCUUGGUUUGCGUUACGACGAACUACUGCGAAAGCAUUUGCCAAAGAUGUUUUCAUUGAUCAAGAACGAAAGUAUGGGGAUCGAAGACGCUUAGAUACCGUCGUAGUCUAUACCAUAAACUAUGCCAACUAGGGAUUGGACGGGUUAUCCUAUGUGGCUCGUUCAGCACCUUAUGAGAAAUCAAAGUUUUUGGGUUCCGGGGGGAGUAUGGUCGCAAGGCU
RNAcentral lists this ribosomal RNA (523 nucleotides) under uncultured Syndiniales. RNAcentral describes it as "SSU rRNA". It matches the Rfam family "Eukaryotic small subunit ribosomal RNA", at positions 609 to 1138 of the family's 1831-position model. Lineage: Eukaryota; Dinophyceae; Syndiniales. The record is from RNAcentral.